UACGUAGGUGGCAAUCGUUAUCCGGAAUUAUUGGGCGUAAAGAGCGCGCAGGUGGUUGAUUAAGUCUGAUGUGAAAGCCCACGGCUUAACCGUGGAGGGUCAUUAGAAACUGGUCGACUUGAGUGCAGAAGAGGGAAGUGGAAUUCCAUGUGUAGCGGUGAAAUGCGUAGAGAUAUGGAGGAACACCAGUGGCGAAGGCGGCUUCCUGGUCUGUAACUGACACUGAGGCGCGAAAGCGUGGGUAGCAAACAGGAUUAGAUACCCCU
Molecule: ribosomal RNA, 266 nt
Filed under: uncultured prokaryote
Description: partial 16S ribosomal RNA
Rfam family: Bacterial small subunit ribosomal RNA
Source: RNAcentral